UACGUAGGGUGCGAGCGUUGUCCGGAAUUACUGGGCGUAAAGAGCUCGUAGGUGGUUUGUCGCGUUGUUCGUGAAAACUCACAGCUUAACUGUGGGCGUGCGGGCGAUACGGGCAGACUGGAGUACUGCAGGGGAGACUGGAAUUCCUGGUGUAGCGGUGGAAUGCGUAGAUAUCAGGAGGAACACCAGUGGCGAAGGCGGCUUUCUGGACGGUAACUGACGCUGAGACGCGAAAGCGUGGGGAGCAAACAGG
RNAcentral lists this ribosomal RNA (253 nucleotides) under uncultured bacterium. Its description in RNAcentral is "partial 16S ribosomal RNA". It matches the Rfam family "Bacterial small subunit ribosomal RNA", at positions 524 to 776 of the family's 1533-position model. The record is from RNAcentral.